UACGUAGACCACAAGCGUUAUCCGGAUUUAUUGGGCGUAAAGCGUGUGUAGGAUGUCUCGUGCGUUUCUGGUUAAAGCCCACUGCCUAACGGUGGAACUGCCGGGAAUACGGCGAGACUGGAGGAGGUGAGAGGUGCAUGGAACUCACGGUGUAGGGGUGAAAUCCGUUGAUAUCGUGGGGAACACCAAAGGCGAAGGCAGUGCACUGGUACCUUCCUGACUCUGAGACACGAAAGCGUGGGGAGCAAAAAGG
Molecule: ribosomal RNA, 253 nt
Filed under: uncultured bacterium
Lineage: Bacteria
Description: partial 16S ribosomal RNA
Rfam family: Bacterial small subunit ribosomal RNA
Source: RNAcentral